GCUCCCAUGGUGUAGUGGUCACUGUGCUCGCCUUACACGCGAGAGACCUGGGUUCGAUUCCAGGCGGGAUCA
Molecule: transfer RNA, 72 nt
Filed under: Diaphorina citri (Asian citrus psyllid)
Lineage: Eukaryota; Metazoa; Arthropoda; Insecta; Hemiptera; Psyllidae
Rfam family: tRNA
About the family: Transfer RNA (tRNA) molecules are approximately 80 nucleotides in length. Their secondary structure includes four short double-helical elements and three loops (D, anti-codon, and T loops).
Source: Rfam by way of RNAcentral